RNAcentral lists this ribosomal RNA (504 nucleotides) under uncultured bacterium. RNAcentral's name for it is "partial 16S ribosomal RNA". It matches the Rfam family "Bacterial small subunit ribosomal RNA", at positions 30 to 523 of the family's 1533-position model. The record is from RNAcentral.
AUUGAACGCUGGCGGCACGCUUAACACAUGCAAGUCGAGCGGUAACGUGGUCUGUAGCAAUACAGACUGAUGACGAGCGGCGGACGGGUGAGUAACACGUAGGAACCUGCCCAGAAGAGGGGGACAACCAAGGGAAACUUUGGCUAAUACCGCGUAAUCUCGAAAGAGAAAAGUUGCCCGCAAGGGUGACGCUUUUGGAGGGGCCUGCGUCCGAUUAGCUAGUUGGUGAGGUAAUAGCUCACCAAGGUAGUGAUCGGUAACUGGUCUGAGAGGACGACCAGUCACACUGGGACUGAGACACGGCCCAGACUCCUACGGGAGGCAGCAGUGGGGAAUCUUGGACAAUGGGGGCAACCCUGAUCCAGCGAUGCCGCGUGGGUGAAGAAGGCCUUCGGGUUGUAAAGUACUUUCAGCGGGGAGGAAGGCGGUGAAGUUAAUAGCUUCACCGAUUGACGUUACCCGCAGAAGAAGCACCGGCUAACUCCGUGCCAGCAGCCGCCGUAA